RNAcentral lists this ribosomal RNA (141 nucleotides) under Triticum aestivum (bread wheat). RNAcentral's name for it is "partial small subunit ribosomal RNA". The record is from RNAcentral. Lineage: Eukaryota; Viridiplantae; Streptophyta; Magnoliopsida; Poales; Poaceae.
AUUGGGGGUCGUCUCGGAGGAAAAGAAAUUGCACGCGCCGAAUCUAUUAAAAAGGGUAGACUUCCCCUCCAAACAAUUCGCGCUAAAAUUGAUUAUUGCUGCUAUCCAAUUCGGACUAUCUAUGGAGUAUUAGGGUGUUAA